RNAcentral lists this unclassified non-coding RNA (1730 nucleotides) under Daphnia magna. Its description in RNAcentral is "uncharacterized LOC123474396, transcript variant X1". The record is from RNAcentral. Lineage: Eukaryota; Metazoa; Arthropoda; Branchiopoda; Diplostraca; Daphniidae.
GUCAUCAAAUAAAUUGUUACCUGAUCUAGCUUGUUGAUGAAAGUUUUUCUAGUUUGACGGUAUCUUGGGAAUAUCGUAUCCGAAGAUUUCUGUUAACGGGGUACCUCCAGUUUUCAACAACAUGAUUGAACAAGGAUUGGUAGAAGAGCCAGUUUUUCCUUCUGGCUUAGCAGGUAUAUUUUUAUUUUUCCUUUAGUUUCGAAUUUCGAUAUUACAAAUUUUCUGAAAGGAAUCCUGAUGCCACCGAGGGCGGAGAAAUUACAUUUGGUUGAUCAGACCCAAAUCGCUACACUGGCGAAAUUACUUGGGUUCCUGUUACCAGAAAACCUUAUUGGCAAUUCGAAGUUGAUGGCGUGCAGGUUUCCAAUGAAGCUGAGGGUUCCUUUUGUCUAGGCGGAUGUCAAAUGAUUGCCGAUACUGGAACAUCUCUCAUUGCUGGCCCUGUAGAUGAUUAAGAAAUUGAACACACUGAUCGGUGGUGUCCCGAUCAUGGCCGGGGAAUAUUAUAUCACCUGCAGCAAAGUUGAUGAGCUUCCGACGAUUUCUUUUACCAUUGGAGGGAAAUAUUGCAGCUUAGAAGGGAGAGAAUAUGUUUUACAGAUUGUGAAGUCAAACUGUGUAUCGGUUUGCAUGUUUGUUGCAAGUUCAAGAAGACACUACAUCAUCAGAAACAGCUCGGCAGGAGCACUCUUAUCCAAGCAGCUAAUAAAGUCGAUUCGCUGCCAGCAGUCACUGUGUUCGCCCACGCCUUACGCUUUUUUAAGGAACACGCACUUCGUGAACUGUCAGAUCAGACGGUCAUUCCCAUUCAUAAUGAGGAUAUCCGCUGUGUUAUCAACCUUUCCGGCCAUAUGGCGAUCAGCGGCCAAGCAACUGAUGCGUGAGGCGGCCUAUAAGGCUGGCCUCGGUUAUGAUCGUUUACCUCACCAAGUGCUGAUCUCUCUGAAGCCUGAAGCCGCCUCACUUUUCUGUCGCCAGUUGAAACGAAACCAACUGAAAACCGAAAAGCCGGCCGAAUUACCAUUAACUCCAGCCAGUUUAGGCAAACCACGACCUCUUAAACCAUGGAACAGAAGUGCGCAGAGGGAAUCUAUGUAUGUCGAUGCUGUACUGGAUGUUUGUCCAGGUCAACGCUAUAUGGUCGUGGAUUGUGGAGGAGAUGCAGAAACUGUUGGCUGCAGACAGACCAAAUGAAUACGCAGGGUAAAACGGACAUUCCCGCCCCGCAAGCCCCAACACCUCACCCCGGAUAUGCUCUUCACGCCACACUACAAGCUAUUAAGCGACACGCAGUUGAACUGAUGAACCAAAAAGAGCAGGAAGAAAAAUAACGCCCGGCAACCAAAAGUAUUCGAUUAACAUCAGCCCUAAUUCUUCGUAACAUUGCCACCCACUCCGCAUUAGGACGAAGGAGUCUCCAUCGUUACGAAAAUCAUUUAGCUAGCGUUGCGUUGAGCAACGUUGAGUCAUCCCGAACUGUAGCGCAAAAAUUUGGUUUACCAUGGUCAAACCAUCUUUAGCAAGCGUGAGUAAUCUAGGGACAAGGCUGCUGAUAUAUUCCUCGAUGGCGUUGACAUUGUCUGACAUGUAUUUGUGUUGGUGAUAUUUAUUUAGCUGAUUACUUUCCUUCAGGGCCAGUAUCCUUUGCAUUUUAAGUUCCUCGUACUAGAAACAAAUGCAGAAUCAUGCCAAUUUGAUAGUGACUGCCAAAAUACAAGUCUAAUAACUCA